RNAcentral lists this ribosomal RNA (459 nucleotides) under uncultured bacterium. RNAcentral's name for it is "partial 16S ribosomal RNA". It matches the Rfam family "Bacterial small subunit ribosomal RNA", at positions 355 to 803 of the family's 1533-position model. The record is from RNAcentral.
UGGGGAAUAUUGCACAAUGGGCGCAAGCCUGAUGCAGCCAUGCCGCGUGUGUGAAGAAGGCCUUCGGGUUGUAAAGCACUUUCAGCGAGGAGGAAGGUGGUGAGCUUAAUACGCUCAUCAAUUGACGUUACUCGCAGAAGAAGCACCGGCUAACUCCGUGCCAGCAGCCGCGGUAAUACGGAGGGUGCAAGCGUUAAUCGGAAUUACUGGGCGUAAAGCGCACGCAGGCGGUUUGUUAAGUCAGAUGUGAAAUCCCCGGGCUCAACCUGGGAACUGCAUUUGAAACUGGCAAGCUAGAGUCUCGUAGAGGGGGGUAGAAUUCCAGGUGUAGCGGUGAAAUGCGUAGAGAUCUGGAGGAAUACCGGUGGCGAAGGCGGCCCCCCUGGACGAAGACUGACGCUCAGGUGCGAAAAGCGUGGGGAGCAAAACAGGAUUAGAUACCCUGGUAGUCCACGCUGU